AGCGACAGAUAAGGAGCUUGCUCCUUUGACGUUAGCGGCGGACGGGUGAGUAACACGUGGAUAACCUACCUAUAAGACUGGGAUAACUUCGGGAAACCGGAGCUAAUACCGGAUAACAUAUUGAACCGCAUGGUUCAAUAGUGAAAGGCGGCUUUGCUGUCACUUAUAGAUGGAUCCGCGCCGUAUUAGCUAGUUGGUAAGGUAACGGCUUACCAAGGCAACGAUACGUAGCCGACCUGAGAGGGUGAUCGGCCACACUGGAACUGAGACACGGUCCAGACUCCUACGGGAGGCAGCAGUAGGGAAUCUUCCGCAAUGGGC
This 321-nucleotide ribosomal RNA is filed under the name Staphylococcus sp. PYM5-5. RNAcentral's name for it is "bacterial SSU rRNA". It matches the Rfam family "Bacterial small subunit ribosomal RNA", at positions 65 to 376 of the family's 1533-position model. The record is from RNAcentral. Lineage: Bacteria; Bacillati; Bacillota; Bacilli; Caryophanales; Staphylococcaceae.